RNAcentral lists this ribosomal RNA (887 nucleotides) under Pteropus vampyrus (large flying fox). RNAcentral describes it as "partial 12S ribosomal RNA". The stretch from base 1 to 795 matches the Rfam family "Bacterial small subunit ribosomal RNA", at positions 356 to 1533 of the family's 1533-position model. Lineage: Eukaryota; Metazoa; Chordata; Mammalia; Chiroptera; Pteropodidae. The record is from RNAcentral.
GACAAAAAUUAAGCCAUGAACGAAAGUUCGACUAAGCCAUACUAGCCUAUAGGGUUGGUAAAUUUCGUGCCAGCCACCGCGGUCAUACGAUUAACCCAAGUUAAUAGACAUACGGCGUAAAACGUGUUAAGGAAACUACCCACACAAUAAAGUUAAAUCUUGGGCUAUGCUGUAGAAAGCUUUAGCCCAGACAAAAAUAAACCACGAAGGUGACUUUAAACGAUCCGACUACACGAUAGCUAAGACACAAACUGGGAUUAGAUACCCCACUAUGCUUAGCCCUAAACCUAAGCAGCUAAAUAACGAUGCUACUCGCCAGAGUACUACUAGCAACAGCUUAAAACUCAAAGGACUUGGCGGUGCUUUAUAUCCCUCUAGAGGAGCCUGUUCUGUAAUCGAUAAACCCCGAUAAACCUCACCAACUCUUGCUAAUACAGCCUAUAUACCGCCAUCUUCAGCAAACCCUAAAAAGGAAAUAAAGUAAGCAAAAUCAUAAAACAUAAAAACGUUAGGUCAAGGUGUAGCCUAUGAGUUGGAAAGAAAUGGGCUACAUUUUCUAGUAUAGAACAUCGACGAAAAUUUUCGUGAAACCGAAAAUAGAAGGAGGAUUUAGUAGUAAAUUAAGAACAGAGAGCUUAGUUGAAUCAGGCCAUGAAGCACGCACACACCGCCCGUCACCCUCCUCAAGUAUAAAGAUACAAUGCCCAAUCCUAUUAAUAAAUGUACACACACAUGAGAGGAGAUAAGUCGUAACAAGGUAAGCGUACUGGAAGGUGCGCUUGGACAAAUCAAAGUGUAGCUUAUGCAAAGCGCCUGGCUUACACCCAGARGRUUCCAUACAAGAAUGGCCACUUUGAACAAAUGCUAGCCCAUGCAAAUAUAAACUC